This 4585-nucleotide long non-coding RNA is filed under the name Sus scrofa (pig). RNAcentral's name for it is "lncRNA (ENSSSCG00005009669.1)". The record is from RNAcentral. Lineage: Eukaryota; Metazoa; Chordata; Mammalia; Artiodactyla; Suidae.
CAUCUGUAAGUGGAGAGUUGUUCUUUUUCCUUUCUCUUUUGGAUACUUUCCAUUACUGUGUUGAAUAGAAGUAGUAAGAGUUGGCCCCCUUGUCUGUGCCUGAUCUUAGAGGAGACACUUUUAGUCUUUCACUGUGGAAAAUGAUGUUCACUGUGGGUUUAGUGUUUUGGUGAUAAAAUUUUAAAGGUCAGAGGACAAUUGUCAUUUUCCUGUUUAUUAAGAUUAUUUUGCAUGUGUCAGCAUGCAUGGUCCUUGUUGGGAUCCUGCACCACUGUGUAAAGCAAGCACUACCUGCAUUUCCUAACAUAAUACUUCCCUCCACGAGACUAUACUCCUUGAGAUUAAGAACAUUGUCUGCCUUGUUCACAGUUAUAUUCCCAGCACCUAGCCAAUGUCUGGCAUGUAGUAGGUGCUCAGUCAGGAAAUGAUAGAUGAAUAGGCUUUGCUUUCAAGCAUGAGUUUUACUGGGGGUCCUACAGGACAUGCCGUGCAUUCCCCCUUCUCAUUGAGUGUGCCGCAUCCCUUGUGCUCUGAGCCUUGUCUGGGGUAUGGCAGAGUGGAGGGGUGUGGUCUCGGAUAAGUGGUCUCACUGGGGAGAUCAGGUAAGACUGCGAGUGGGUAUUGCUCCCUUGUAUUAGGACCUGUAUGUACUGGACGUUGUGUACAGUGUUCAUUCAUUACUGUUAGCACUUGGUGUUAGCCCUUUGGCACUUAGACACUGGAUCCAGUCCCUUUCAAAAAUACAAAAUCAAGUGCAAGUGCUACAUAUUGAGAUUUCCCUGCAAGUGGGGGACCUCAGCUUGGGGUCAGUAAAGGUAGAACAAAAAAUCGACACUUGCUAUAUAUACUACAUGUUCGUGUUCUCUGAAGAGUCGAAUGCAGGUCUAGCGAUGACAUUUAGCUCUUACAAUUCAACAUUAGGUUCUAUAAGAGGAGUAUUUGCUUAAAAUUGAACUCUCAUUAUUUUCAUAUAAGUAAACAUGUAUUGACUAUCUAAUGUGUUCACAUCAUCAUGGUAGGUCCUAAGAGGAUAAGACCCUCUCCCUGCCCUCAAAGAAGUACCCAGUGUGGCAAGGAAGAUCCCACAGCAUCUAAUCUAAAUAGAGUCCCAUCUGAGACUGGAAAUAAGAGCAGGUGUUAUGCAGGGAUGCAUAACAAAAUGCAACAGAAAUGUACUGUCUCACAGUUCUGGAGAGCGUUAAGUUUAAUAAGAUCAGGGUGCCAGCAUGGUUAGGUUCUAGUGAGUCCUCUCUCCCUGGCUUGCAAAUGCCCCCUUCUCACCGUGUCUGUAUGUGGCCUUUUUUCUAAGUUCAAGUCGGGGUGGGAGAAGGAAAGGGGAAGAGAGAGAGAGGGAGAGAAGUAUCUCUUCCUCUUAUAAGGUCAUCAGUCCUUUCCACACCAUCGUCAUGACCACAUUUAACCUGAGUUACUUCCUAAAAGCCCCGUCUCCAGAUCCAGUCACACUGGGUGUUAGGAUGUGAAUUGGGGGACCAGGGGAGGAAUGACAUGAUUCAGUCCAUAGCGACAAGGUUGCCAAAUCUUGAUGUAGACUGAGUGUACCAGGCACUGUGCCUCAUGUUCUCGUUCAGUCUUCCCUCUGAUCCCAUCAGGUGGGAACCAUCAUUUCCCCCUGUUUCCCAGAUGAAGAAACUGAGGCUUGGAAGAAUUAAACUGUUUUCCAAGCUUUACAGAGCCAGGGCUUGAACCCAAGGCUUUGGGAGCUGGGGGAGUGUCAGAGGAGGUGCCUCGAGGAUGAGUAGGGAGGUGGCUUAGGGGCACUCAGACAGGUGGGAAGCAGCCUCUGACUCUACAUAUGUUGUAUUCAGGGGCAAGCUUCUUCCUGGCUGCACAUGGAGGGUGUAUUAAAAGCGGUGAUGGAGGCUGAUGCUGGAAAAGUAGCUGGGUCCAUGUUCCUCUACAGGGCCAUGGACUUUGGGCAGUAGGGAGCCAUUGGUGGCUUUUGAGCAGAGGAAUGACCUAAGAGUUUGGCUUCAGAAAACGAAUGCUCACAGCCAGUAUACACAGCGAACCUGGAGGUAAGAGACGUUCCACAGCAGUUUUGAUAACCCACAUGGGGGCUCUGAGGACAUAGGUGAAAGGUUUCAGGAGGUAGAGUCAACAGGACUUUGGUUUUCAUUUGGCUUGUGGUUGUAGGGGGAGGAAUUGGAAAUAUUCUGGGUCACCAGAUGGUGCUGCCAUUUAGAGAGACACAAGGAACACCAGAAGUCUACUCUCCAUGUCUGUGACUCUGUUUCUGUGCUGUAGGUAGGUUCAUGUGGGCCACAUUUUAGAUUCCACAUGUAAGUGGUAUCAUAUGGUAUUUAUCUUUCCCUUUCUGACGUCACUUAGUAGGAGAACCUCUAGUUGCAUCCAUGCUGCUGCAAAUGGCAUUAUUUUGUUCGUUUUUAUGGCUGAGUAGUAGCAUGUAUAUGUAGUAGUAGUAUGUAUAUGUGGUUCUUAAUCCAUUCAUCUAUAUAUACCAAGCAUUUUAAAUCUCUUGGGAAAGAAAUCUGUAGCCCUAAAUCUGAGAAAAGGACUUGACAUAGUUAAAUGAGGAUAUUGGAGAGGCCUCUUAGGGACAUUGAUGGACCCUUAGGGAUUAUUUAAUUUAAGAAGUCAGUUAAAGCAAGGGAUUAUAAACUGAAAGAACAUCUAGUUAACACUGAGUUCUGACUUUUGAUGUACAGUCAAGGCUUUGCCUUUGGUAAGUUUGCUGAUGGGUUCUCAGUAGGCUCUCUUGUGUAAGCCUCACCUAGAAAGCAUCCAGGUGAUUUUCAGCAACAGGGUCUCUAAAGAGGCUCCAGAGAGUAAAGUCACUGUCAGAGCCACCUGACCAGAAGGUCUUGGUCUUAGGUAUCUCAUGCUCAUUAAUCCUAAAGGAGAUUUUAAAGUCAGAUGCCUUUAGCAAUCUAUCCCAAGUAUUUGUUUUUCAUACACAUAAAAUAUUUGGUGUAUUCAUCUAUCUUCACAGUAAACAAUGAAAUUGAUAAUUGCAGUAAUAAGAGGCACAAACAUAUAUGAGUACAGUUACUGCCCUUCUCUCAGAAAACAGGAAAGGAGCCACUAGCUGGAGUGUUUAGCAGGUCAAGGGUAUCUGCUUCUCUCCCUCUGAUACCGGUUAAUCUGAGAUUUAGGUGAUUUAAUAUUGGUUGAGUUUCUACUGUGGGUGUAUAUGUAUAUUAAACAAGGCAGUUGUAGGCACCAGUUUGAAAGGCUAGUAUCAUAUUUUUCUGAGCUACAUUCUAAAUUUCUGAUGAUGUUGAUAGCAGUUACAAAAAGGAAAUACAGCUGUAGGACACAUCCUACAAUGAAAGUUUACAAUGAAACUGUUGUUAAUGGAAGUACUCAUUAGCUAUAGUAGUGAAAUCAAAUGGAUUGAAUUCAGGAAAAGAAGGUAGGGUAUCCGAGGGAUUGGAUUCUUAGAGAUGAGUAGAAGGAUUUCCUUUUGAAACUCAGAUUUACAUAUGUCAUUUUGUCACUUACGACUUCUUAGAUUAAUUCCAUCAGGGAGAGUGAUCAGUGCUUCAAAAUGAGCCCACCUUUCUAGCAGUGCCAAAAGCAUGGCUAAUUGUAGCUUCUUACACAACCUGCACAUAGAGUCCAUUAUAGCAGAAACUCAGUUAUUUUCCCUUGAUGACAAGAUCAGCAUCGAUUAGCUGACACAGGAAGAGGACGCACUCAGCUUUGGAGAGCCCUCGGCUGUCCUUGUAGAGAGCCUGUAUUGGAUGGAGCCCUGGGGGAAGCAUAUAUCAGUGGCUUGGUGGUAGGUUAACAGUGCAGGGGACGGCUCAGCAGUGCUGUCCACCUGCUCAAAAGACACCUAGCAAAUAUAAGAGGUAACGAGUUCUCUGAUGCCUGGUUCAGCAGCAGUAUUGGCCUUUGUCAUUAGGGUAGGAAUAGAUAGUAGUUGGGAAAUAUCUUCUUGACCUCUUCCCUCUCAUCUGUUGCCCUAAUUUGCUUUAGUUAUUUUAAAAUGGUGAGAAAUUUAUUUUUUUUUUGUCUUGGGGUGGGGGGAGGCAAAGCCACCCCCAUGAUAUAUGGAAGAGCCUAGGCUAAGGAUCAAAUCAGAGCUGUAGCUGUUGGCCUAUACCACAGCCACAGCAAUGCAGGAUCUGAACCCUGCACCACAGCAGCACUCACAGUAACACCUGAUCCUUAACCCAAUGAGAGGCCAGGGUUCAAACCCACAUCCAAACUAGUCAGGUUCGUUACUGCUGAGCCAUGAUGGGAACUCUUAUCACUUUUUCCUUUUAAAUUACUAAAUAUUUUAACAAAAACAUACAGCAUAUUAUGAAAAAUAGAGAUAUUUGUGCUAAAUAACGUUGGCCAUAUUCACUCCAGGUUAGAGAAAUAAGACAUCACAGGAGUUCCCAUUGUGGCUCAGUGAAUUAAGAACCCAACUGGUAUCUGUGAGGAUGCAGGUUUGACCCCUGGCCUCUCAGUGAGUUGAAAAUCUGGUAUUACCAUGAACCAUGGUAUAGGUAGCAAACGCUGCUCAGCUUCCGAGUGGCUGUGAUGUAGGCUGGCAUCUGCAGCUCUCAUUUGACCCCUAGCCUGGGAGCUUUCAUAUGCCACAGGCGCAGCC